Molecule: ribosomal RNA, 230 nt
Filed under: uncultured bacterium
Lineage: Bacteria
Description: partial 16S ribosomal RNA
Rfam family: Bacterial small subunit ribosomal RNA
Source: RNAcentral
CGCGUAGGCGGACCGAUAAGUCGGGUGUGAAAACUGGUGGCUCAACUGCCAGCCUGCAUUCGAUACUGCCGGUCUUGAGUACAGGAGAGGAAAGCGGAAUUCCAGGUGUAGCGGUGAAAUGCGUAGAUAUCUGGAAGAACACCAGUAGCGAAGGCGGCUUUCUGGACUGAUACUGACGCUGAAGCGCGAAGGCUAGGGGAGCAAACAGGAUUAGAUACCCCUGGUAGUCC